UCUAUUAUGGCAGAAUAGUGCAGAGGACUUAAACCCCUAAUAUAAAGGUUAACCUUUUUAUAGAA
This 65-nucleotide transfer RNA is filed under the name Epicauta emmerichi. Its description in RNAcentral is "Denierella emmerichi tRNA-Leu". It matches the Rfam family "tRNA". From Rfam's summary of the family: Transfer RNA (tRNA) molecules are approximately 80 nucleotides in length. Their secondary structure includes four short double-helical elements and three loops (D, anti-codon, and T loops). Further hydrogen bonds mediate the characteristic L-shaped molecular structure. tRNAs have two regions of fundamental functional importance: the anti-codon, which is responsible for specific mRNA codon recognition, and the 3' end, to which the tRNAs corresponding amino acid is attached (by aminoacyl-tRNA synthetases). tRNAs cope with the degeneracy of the genetic code in two manners: having more than one tRNA (with a specific anti-codon) for a particular amino acid; and 'wobble' base-pairing, i.e. permitting non-standard base-pairing at the 3rd anti-codon position. Lineage: Eukaryota; Metazoa; Arthropoda; Insecta; Coleoptera; Meloidae. The record is from RNAcentral.